RNAcentral lists this ribosomal RNA (385 nucleotides) under uncultured bacterium. RNAcentral describes it as "bacterial SSU rRNA". It matches the Rfam family "Bacterial small subunit ribosomal RNA", at positions 30 to 414 of the family's 1533-position model. The record is from RNAcentral.
AUUGAACGCUGGCGGCAUGCCUUACACAUGCAAGUCGAACGGCAGCACGGGAGCAAUCCUGGUGGCGAGUGGCGAACGGGUGAGUAAUGUAUCGGAACGUGCCUUGUCGUGGGGGAUAACGUAGCGAAAGCUACGCUAAUACCGCAUACCAUCUAAGGAUGAAAGCGGGGGAUCGCAAGACCUCGCGCGACAAGAGUGGCCGAUAUCAGAUUAGGUUGUUGGUGGGGUAAAGGCCGUACCAAGCCGACGAUCUGUAGCUGGUCUGAGAGGACGACCAGCCACACUGGGACUGAGACACGGCCCAGACUCCUACGGGAGGCAGCAGUGGGGAAUUUUGGACAAUGGGCGAAAGCCUGAUCCAGCAAUGCCGCGUGCAGGAUGAAGG